RNAcentral lists this transfer RNA (77 nucleotides) under Bacillota bacterium. RNAcentral describes it as "tRNA-Arg". It matches the Rfam family "tRNA". Rfam says of the family: Transfer RNA (tRNA) molecules are approximately 80 nucleotides in length. Lineage: Bacteria; Bacillati; Bacillota. RNAcentral also lists the same sequence under 1 other name. The record is from RNAcentral.
GCCCCAAUAGCGCAACUGGAUAGAGUACUUGACUUCGAAUCAAGGGGUUACGGGUUCGAUUCCUGUUUGGGGCGCCA